Molecule: ribosomal RNA, 529 nt
Filed under: Trichoderma sp.
Lineage: Eukaryota; Fungi; Ascomycota; Sordariomycetes; Hypocreales; Hypocreaceae
Description: partial large subunit ribosomal RNA
Rfam family: Eukaryotic large subunit ribosomal RNA
Source: RNAcentral
GCGGCAACAGCUCAAAUUUGAAAUCUGGCCCCUAGGGUCCGAGUUGUAAUUUGUAGAGGAUGCUUUUGGUGAGGUGCCGCCCGAGUUCCCUGGAACGGGACGCCGCAGAGGGUGAGAGCCCCGUCUGGCUGGCCACCGAGCCUCUGUAAAGCUCCUUCGACGAGUCGAGUAGUUUGGGAAUGCUGCUCAAAAUGGGAGGUAUAUGUCUUCUAAAGCUAAAUAUUGGCCAGAGACCGAUAGCGCACAAGUAGAGUGAUCGAAAGAUGAAAAGCACCUUGAAAAGAGGGUUAAACAGUACGUGAAAUUGUUGAAAGGGAAGCGCUUGUGACCAGACUUGGGCGCGGCGGAUCAUCCGGGGUUCUCCCCGGUGCACUUCGCCGUGUUCAGGCCAGCAUCAGUUCGGCGCGGGGGAAAAAGGCUUCGGGAACGUGGCUCCUCCGGGAGUGUUAUAGCCCGUUGCAUAAUACCCUGCGCUGGACUGAGGACCGCGCAUCUGCAAGGAUGCUGGCGUAAUGGUCACCAGCGACCC